GUGAGUAUGCGUAGGAUCUACCUAGUAGUACGGAAUAGCCAUUAGAAAUGGUGGGUAAUACUGUAUAAUCCCCGAGGGGGAAAGAUUUAUCGCUAUUAGAUGAGCCUACGUUAGAUUAGCUAGUUGGUGAGGUAAUGGCUUACCAAGGCUAUGAUCUAUAGCUGGUCUGAGAGGACGAUCAGCCACACUGGAACUGAGAUACGGUCCAGACUCCUACGGGAGGCAGCAGUGGGGAAUAUUGGACAAUGGGCGAAAGCCUGAUCCAGCUAUGCCGCGUGAGUGAAGAAGGCCUUCGGGUUGUAAAACUCUUUCAAUAGGGAAGAUAAUGAC
RNAcentral lists this ribosomal RNA (330 nucleotides) under uncultured Ehrlichia sp. RNAcentral's name for it is "bacterial SSU rRNA". It matches the Rfam family "Bacterial small subunit ribosomal RNA", at positions 106 to 455 of the family's 1533-position model. The record is from RNAcentral. Lineage: Bacteria; Pseudomonadati; Pseudomonadota; Alphaproteobacteria; Rickettsiales; Anaplasmataceae.